GCCCGGGUGGCGGAAUUGGUAGACGCACAGGACUUAAAAUCCUGCGGCCGUUGAGGCUGUACCGGUUCGAUUCCGGUCCCGGGCA
Molecule: transfer RNA, 85 nt
Filed under: Calditerrivibrio nitroreducens
Lineage: Bacteria; Pseudomonadati; Deferribacterota; Deferribacteres; Deferribacterales; Calditerrivibrionaceae
Also listed under: 3 other names
Description: tRNA-Leu
Rfam family: tRNA
About the family: Transfer RNA (tRNA) molecules are approximately 80 nucleotides in length.
Source: RNAcentral